AUGAGACGACCUCUCUUUCUUCGCAUCGUCAAUGCGCUAGGUGAGUGGUCUCCAUACUUCACCACAAGGACAGAUGCGCUUAACCGUGAAGGGCUCUCUCCACUGCAAAAGUGCCCGGCGGCAAUACGCCAAUUGGCUUAUGGCACACCUGCAGAUAGUCUUGAUGAAUACCUCAAGAUUGGCGAGACUACCGCAGUUGAUUGCUUGAAGAACUUUGUUCAAGGAGUGAUUGAUACCUAUGCUGUAGAGUAUUUGCGAAGCCCCAACACUAAAGAUACAGAGCGCUUACUCUGCAUUGGCGAAGGUCGUGGGUUUCGUGGCAUGUUAGGAAGCCUGGAUUGUAUGCAUUGGCGUUGGGAAAAAUGUCCUAUUGCAUGA
Molecule: ribosomal RNA, 378 nt
Filed under: Triticum aestivum (bread wheat)
Lineage: Eukaryota; Viridiplantae; Streptophyta; Magnoliopsida; Poales; Poaceae
Description: partial small subunit ribosomal RNA
Source: RNAcentral